AUCGCUUCUCGGCCUUUUGGCUAAGACCAUAAAUAGUAUCUGUUCUUGUCAGCUUAAUAUCUGAUACGACCCUCACGGGGUCUUGGAUAUUAGUUGAAUUUUUGCAGUCCGGUGUUCGUGGGAGCUUGCUCCGCGAGCGCCACGGGUCGUCCUGACGUUGCACUGCAGUCAGGUACGGCCCAGUCCCC
RNAcentral lists this small nuclear RNA (188 nucleotides) under Rhipicephalus sanguineus (brown dog tick). RNAcentral describes it as "U2 spliceosomal RNA". It matches the Rfam family "U2 spliceosomal RNA". From Rfam's summary of the family: U2 is a small nuclear RNA (snRNA) component of the spliceosome (involved in pre-mRNA splicing). Lineage: Eukaryota; Metazoa; Arthropoda; Arachnida; Ixodida; Ixodidae. The record is from Rfam by way of RNAcentral.